GUGGCGAACGGGUGAGUAACACGUGAGCAACCUGCCCCUGACUCUGGGAUAAGCGCUGGAAACGGCGUCUAAUACUGGAUAUGAGCUCCUGCCGCAUGGUGGGGGUUGGAAAGAUUUUUUGGUUGGGGAUGGGCUCGCGGCCUAUCAGCUUGUUGGUGAGGUAAUGGCUCACCAAGGCGUCGACGGGUAGCCGGCCUGAGAGGGUGACCGGCCACACUGGGACUGAGACACGGCCCAGACUCCUACGGGAGGCAGCAGUGGGGAAUAUUGCACAAUGGGCGGAAGCCUGAUGCAGCAACGCCGCGUGAGGGAUGACGGCCUUCGGGUUGUAAACCUCUUUUAGCAGGGAAGAAGCGAAAGUGACGGUACCUGCAGAAAAAGCACCGGCUAACUACGUGCCAGCAGCCGCGGUAAUACGUAGGGUGCAAGCGUUAUCCGGAAUUAUUGGGCGUAAAGAGCUCGUAGGCGGUUUGUCGCGUCUGCUGUGAAAUCCCGAGGCUCAACCUCGGGUCUGCAGUGGGUACGGGCAGACUAGAGUGCGGUAGGGGAGAUUGGAAUUCCUGGUGUAGCGGUGGAAUGCGCAGAUAUCAGGAGGAACACCGAUGGCGAAGGCAGAUCUCUGGGCCGUAACUGACGCUGAG
This 641-nucleotide ribosomal RNA is filed under the name Microbacterium sp. I13A-01633. Its description in RNAcentral is "bacterial SSU rRNA". It matches the Rfam family "Bacterial small subunit ribosomal RNA", at positions 95 to 750 of the family's 1533-position model. Lineage: Bacteria; Bacillati; Actinomycetota; Actinomycetes; Micrococcales; Microbacteriaceae. The record is from RNAcentral.